RNAcentral lists this long non-coding RNA (471 nucleotides) under Phoenix dactylifera (date palm). RNAcentral describes it as "long non-coding RNA (PDAC_LNC011589)". Lineage: Eukaryota; Viridiplantae; Streptophyta; Magnoliopsida; Arecales; Arecaceae. The record is from RNAcentral.
UCAAGCUUCUCAAACAACUCAGAAAAUGGUUUUCUGGAAAUACUGAGAGGGUCGACCCAAGAUGAAGUUGAGUCGACCCAAGCUUGAGUCGACCCAAACCCUGAGUGGGUCGACCCAAAGGCAAGACAGAACAGAUGACAGAAAAGGUUCCCUGGAAACCCUGUUAGGGUCGACCCAAGAAGAAGUUGAGUCGACCCAACUGAACCUUGAGUCGACCCAAAGAAAGGUUGGGUCGACCCAAGUGAAGGAAGGCUGAAUUGCAAGUUUCUGUGUUUCUGAGAGGGUCGACCCAAGGAAUGUUUGAGUCGACCCAAGUGAAAGUUGGGUCGACCCAAGGACAGGUUGAGCCGACCCAAACACGGGCAGAAGCAUAACGGCUAGUUCUGCAGAAGUACUUUUUGUCCUUCCAACAGUGAGUAACGACUAGUUUUUGAAUUCUAACCAUUGGGGCUUGUCCAAUGGAUGAAGAAA